This is a long non-coding RNA of Pseudophryne corroboree (corroboree frog), 589 nucleotides long. RefSeq lists it as uncharacterized. The record is from RefSeq and is a predicted model, not a curated record. Lineage: Eukaryota; Metazoa; Chordata; Amphibia; Anura; Myobatrachidae. The transcript is spliced from 2 exons.
CAUUCCCGCCGUUUGAGAGGCCGGGCACGUUAACAGUUCAUAUCUUGUUUUCCUCUUGAGGGAGGCUGAUAUCUGUGUCUGUCAGAGGCAUCCCUCCAGGACUGGACCAGCCAGCUGACCUCCCGCGUUGCUCUUCGUUGAAUAAGUCCAAGGUUAAAGUGGAUUUAGGAUACUGAUUGACUGUAAGGCUGAGGGAUCUCAGGAAAAUGAUACCGUUGCAGAUGUGAAAUGGAUGUAUUCCCCGGCCUAGUGACAGAAAAGCAACGCUUAGAAAAUGCUUAUCUGUAGAUUUCACAUGACAUUUGUAAGGAUAAUUGUAUUUAAAAAUUUAGAGAUCAUAAUGGAAGAGGAAAAAGUUGAACUGAAAAGAAAGAAAGAAAUGCAAAAUGGCAAAAGAUGGUCUAAUUAGCAGCACGUAGCCCGGGACGUACUGACACUGAAUAUUACUACUUCAUUAUAGAUCUGGGCCUGGAUGAAGCUAUUGUCCGACAAUGUACACAGACAUAAUCACAAUUAGGGGCUAUCAACUUGUAAUCACCAUAAUGGAGUGUAACGACUGAAUGGCAAAUAAAAGCUUUAUUAGUGCAAA